CUUGACCAUAUUCUGAGUGGAUAAUGUCAAGCCAAAAUGUUGCUACCAGCUCAAAUGAUGUAACGAAAACUUCAGUCGAGUUCAUUAGCAGACUUUGUGUGUUGGAGGGGUCUCCUUACCAAAAUUAUGUGCACGCCAUAUGAAAACAGAGAAGGCUGGAUCGUGUGUGUAACUAAGUUCAAGAACACAUACUACAUGUGUGAGUUUGAAACAGAUAAGCGAGUGAAAGACCGAGAGCGUGAGACAGAGAGACAAAAGGAGAUGUCCUUUUGGGGGUUUAAAUUUGAACAAUACUUAACCGCAGGUGAUCGACAUAUGAAACCUGACACCUCAAAGCCAGUGAAUAACAAUGAGGCGUAUUGUACGGUUGUGCGCACCAGCCUGGCGUCGCACUCGUUACUGUUUGCUGGUGAGGUGGACUGCCUUGAUGCCAAAUCCAGCGCACCAAAACCGGGCUGUUACGUGGAACUGAAAACAUCGAGAAUGAUUGAGCACCAGGGACAUGAUAGAAGUUUUAAAAAGUUCAAGUUGAUCAAGUGGUGGUUGCAGUCAUUUCUCGUCGGCAUUCCGCGAAUCAUCUGCGGAUUCCGGACAGACGAAGGCGUCGUCACAUCGUUGCAGGAAUACGGUGUUGCUGACAUACCGAAAAUUAUACGCAGCUUGGGAUAUUUGGCAUGGCAUCCAACGGCAUGUGUGAACUUUUGUGAUCAUUUCUUGACGUUUGUGAAGACGGUUGUUGUUGAAGAUGAUUCAAGUGUUAUCUACAAGUUUGAGUGGAGUGCGCAACAAUUUGCACUAAGGUGGGAGAAACUGCACCAGCCCUCUUCAUUUGGGUUUCUCCCCGAUUGGUACAUCGGUCUGCAGCAUUAAGAAUACAAUCAGGGUUGGGAGCUGAGGUCGCAUGAUCGUAUGAUUGCCAGUCAUUGCAUCUACCACCCAAGGAGGCCUAUAGGAAUCGAUAUAUCGGCACGCAGCGUAAUUGCCGGCAUAAAGAGACACUGUGAAUUCAAGAAUGAUGCUUGGGAACUAUUUGCGCUAGCGUAGGGCUACUGCUAGCUAUGUAACAAAACCACGUCCGACAGUUUUCAAAAUAGUCAACUUCGGAGCACACUUCUGGCUCAAUGAGAACAUUUCGUGAUGGUUGCACACUGCAAGUAUGUUCACUGUAGGUCUAUAAGAUCUUUUUGUUGCGAGGUUUCUCCGUUUUAAGGGGGUUGUGUGCCGAAUGUAGUGUAGGGGAGAAUGCACCUCUUCUGCAUUGAUCUACUGUAUUCUGUCAGAUUUUAGAUGUUAGGAAAAAGCAAAAAGUGGUAGUGACACUUUCUCGAAGUUUGUAAAUCGAGGUUUAUUGCAACUGAGAUGAAUAUUCCCUUGUAUUAAAAGAAUUUUAAGUGUCUGUGAUGUGGUAUUUGAUCCAUGGAGGAUUAAUUGUGAGAUGGUGAAUAUCAAAGCGAAAUAAAGGUGAUUUGCGUCAA
RNAcentral lists this unclassified non-coding RNA (1475 nucleotides) under Priapulus caudatus. RNAcentral describes it as "decapping and exoribonuclease protein-like, transcript variant X2". Lineage: Eukaryota; Metazoa; Priapulida; Priapulimorpha; Priapulimorphida; Priapulidae. The record is from RNAcentral.